GAUGAACGCUAGCUACAGGCUUAACACAUGCAAGUCGCGGGGCAGCAUGGGGGUUGCUUGCAAUCCCCGAUGGCGACCGGCGCACGGGUGAGUAACGCGUAUCCAACCUGCCCUUCACCACGGGAUAACCCGGCGAAAGUCGGACUAAUACCGUAUGUUGUCCAUUGACGGCAUCCGAUUUGGACGAAAGGCUUGGCGGUGAGGGAUGGGGAUGCGUCCGAUUAGCCAGACGGCGGGGUAAUGGCCCACCGUGGCUACGAUCGGUAGGGGUUCUGAGAGGAAGGUCCCCCACACUGGAACUGAGACACGGUCCAGACUCCUACGGGAGGCAGCAGUGAGGAAUAUUGGUCAAUGGGCGUAAGCCUGAACCAGCCAAGUAGCGUGCAGGAUGACGGCCCUAUGGGUUGUAAACUGCUUUUAUGCGGGGAUAAAGUGGCCCACGUGUGGGCUUUUGCAGGUACCGCAUGAAUAAGGACCGGCUAAUUCCGUG
This 490-nucleotide ribosomal RNA is filed under the name uncultured bacterium. Its description in RNAcentral is "partial 16S ribosomal RNA". It matches the Rfam family "Bacterial small subunit ribosomal RNA", at positions 28 to 507 of the family's 1533-position model. The record is from RNAcentral.